CAGUCGCCGCGGUAAUACGAAGGGUGCAAGCGUUAAUCGGAAUUACUGGGCGUAAAGCGUGCGUAGGCGGUGAGUUAAGUCUGCUGUGAAAUCCCCGGGCUCAACCUGGGAAUGGCAGUGGAUACUGGCUCGCUAGAGUGUGUCAGAGGAUGGUGGAAUUCCCGGUGUAGCGGUGAAAUGCGUAGAGAUCGGGAGGAACAUCAGUGGCGAAGGCGGCCAUCUGGGACAACACUGACGCUGAGGCACGAAAGCGUGGGGAGCAAACAGGAUUAGAUACCCCAGUAGUCCCUGUCUCUUAUAA
RNAcentral lists this ribosomal RNA (301 nucleotides) under uncultured bacterium. Its description in RNAcentral is "partial 16S ribosomal RNA". It matches the Rfam family "Bacterial small subunit ribosomal RNA", at positions 509 to 809 of the family's 1533-position model. The record is from RNAcentral.